RNAcentral lists this long non-coding RNA (560 nucleotides) under Arachis ipaensis. Its description in RNAcentral is "long non-coding RNA (AIPA_LNC000181)". The record is from RNAcentral. Lineage: Eukaryota; Viridiplantae; Streptophyta; Magnoliopsida; Fabales; Fabaceae.
GCGUCCUUAUAAAAACACAAAAUUCUAAACAAAUAAAAUUCUAAUUACACUAAUCGUUAAAUUCUAUUGGCGUCAGGCACGGACCUAGGCACAACAGUGAGGGGGCACUUUCCCCCAUUGUGUUUUUAAUUUUUUUUUUUAAAAAAAAUAGUUAUACAUAUUAUAUAAUGUGACCCAUCUCAAAUUUUAAAUGAUCCUACUAUAAAUAAAUUAAAUUCAAUUAGCAAAGUUUUAAAUUUAUUUUUUUAUUUUUCUAUCAUUUUGACUAUUAUUUAAUCUAAUCAAAUUUAGUUUUUGUGUCGUCACUCUUUUAUUCCAUUAAACUCUCCUCUUAUUUUUAUAUUUUCAACAUUUUUUUUCUAUUUCUUGUCUAGUGGUCAUCCUCUCUUCAUCAAAAAGAAAAUUUCAAAUUCUCCAUGUUUUAUAUAUAACUCUCCAUGACUCUAUGUAUGUAUUUUCUAAUUUCAUUGUUUCUCUUUUAAUAUUUUCAAUUGAAAAUUUUAAUUCAAACAAUUAUAGUUUAGGUAUUAAUCUAAUGUUUUAUUCUCUUCAUUAAUUUA